Centropristis striata (black sea bass) is the source of this 795-nucleotide long non-coding RNA. RefSeq lists it as uncharacterized. The record is from RefSeq and is a predicted model, not a curated record. The transcript is spliced from 3 exons. Lineage: Eukaryota; Metazoa; Chordata; Actinopteri; Perciformes; Serranidae.
AGGAUAAACGAGCAGAGAAAUUAAACCUGGGCCAGACUGUGGAGACUCAAGCAAUACAGUCUCUCUGUCAUGCUCUCAGUCUCGGCCCAGGCCUGGGUGUCGAUCCCCGAGGACAUGACGCUGGAAUGCCUAUCUCAGGCGUCUGUAGAUGGGGAUUGGACAUCCCAACUGAGUGGUUAAAACAGAAGUUGAGGUUCAACUGCUCAAACCAGCAGCGUGGUUAAAACAUCAUGUCUUGGAAGCAGUCAUCUCAGGGAUUGGACGCAGAGCUGCCUGGAUUUAAUCGUCUUGGUCCCAAUUAAAGUCAGAUUUACUGACAUCAGUCACAGUUCAUCACAGUGAUUAUGCUCAAGCUGUUCAGUGAGGAGAUGAUACAGAGUUUAUGGGAACUGCCACUAAUUGGAGGUCUUCACUCUCUCACUUUGUGUUCACUCAUUAAUAACUUCCAUUUUAAUAUAUGGAAAAUAUGUCAUAUCACUAUAGUAACAUUAAUACAAUAUAAUAAUUCAAGAAGACUUUAAAAUCUAAAAUUAUCAAGGGUUGCAAUGAAAUUUGAUUGAAUUUGAUUUUUCAGUUUAAGGUAUCAUGUGUUUUGUAACAAUGUGAUUUACUCAGUUAAUGUAAUGUAUAUAAUGUAAUGUAUAUACAUGUAGAUAGUACAGGAGAGGCAAAAAUAAGCCUUGGGGCUUCAGCCUAUUCCUUUUUCGGUUGCUGUCUGAUGGAUUCUUUUGUAAAAAAACAUGAUUUUAUUUUGUUGUCUUUGUUUUGUUUGUUUUUGUUGUUGUUUUUUGUAAC